UACGAAGGGGACUAGCGUUGUUCGGAAUCACUGGGCGUAAAGCGCACGUAGGCGGAUUUGUAAGUCAGGGGUGAAAUCCCGAGGCUCAACCUCGGAACUGCCUUUGAUACUGCGGAUCUCGAAUCCGAUAGAGGUGAGUGGAAUUCCUAGUGUAGAGGUGAAAUUCGUAGAUAUUAGGAAGAACACCGGUGGCGAAGGCGGCUCACUGGAUCGGUAUUGACGCUGAGGUGCGAAAGCGUGGGGAGCAAACAGG
RNAcentral lists this ribosomal RNA (253 nucleotides) under uncultured bacterium. RNAcentral's name for it is "partial 16S ribosomal RNA". It matches the Rfam family "Bacterial small subunit ribosomal RNA", at positions 524 to 776 of the family's 1533-position model. The record is from RNAcentral.